Molecule: transfer RNA, 112 nt
Filed under: Aquamicrobium lusatiense
Lineage: Bacteria; Pseudomonadati; Pseudomonadota; Alphaproteobacteria; Hyphomicrobiales; Phyllobacteriaceae
Description: tRNA-Arg
Source: RNAcentral
GUAGAUUCAGCUAGUUAGGAAACAUCAGUAAACUUACAGAAAUCGGGGAAAAUCAUGCACUUGAUCCCUCCGAAGGCGAAGGUCACAGGUUCGAAUCCUGUCGGGUGCGCCA